CCUACGGGAGGCAGCAGUGGGGAAUAUUGCGCAAUGGGCGAAAGCCUGACGCAGCGACGCCGCGUGAGGGAUGAAGGUCUUCGGAUCGUAAACCUCUGUCAGCAGGGAAGAACGGUCACUGUGCUAAUCAGCAGUGAAUUGACGGUACCUGCAAAGGAAGCACCGGCUAACUCCGUGCCAGCAGCUGCGGUAAUACGGAGGGUGCGAGCGUUAAUCGGAAUUACUGGGCGUAAAGCGGUCGUAGGCGGUAUGUCAAGUCAAGGGUGAAAUCCCCGCGCUCAACGUGGGAACUGCCUUUGAAACUGGCAGACUGGAGUGUGUGAGAGGAUAGUGGAAUUCGAGGUGUAGGAGUGAAAUCCGUAGAUAUCUGGAGGAACAUCGGUGGCGAAGGCGACUAUCUGGCACAUAACUGACGCUGAGGAGCGAAAGCGUGGGUAGCAAACAGGAUUAGAUACCCCAGUAGUC
RNAcentral lists this ribosomal RNA (465 nucleotides) under uncultured bacterium. RNAcentral describes it as "partial 16S ribosomal RNA". It matches the Rfam family "Bacterial small subunit ribosomal RNA", at positions 338 to 795 of the family's 1533-position model. The record is from RNAcentral.